Long non-coding RNA from Mastomys coucha (southern multimammate mouse), 849 nucleotides. RefSeq lists it as uncharacterized. The record is from RefSeq and is a predicted model, not a curated record. Lineage: Eukaryota; Metazoa; Chordata; Mammalia; Rodentia; Muridae. The transcript has 5 exons.
AUAAGAUCCUGCAAAGGCAUGUUGACAAGGUGGAAUUGUCUAUGUGUGAGAGAGAAUAGGAAGUCUAGAGGGAGAGACAGACACAGCUUGGAUUUCAUUUUACUUAUGAUGUCUUCCAUCUUCUGAGGAUCUCCAAGGGAAAUUUAGAACAACCAAAGGAGGAGUGGUUUUCUGUUCUCUGUGGACUGGACUCCAUGCAUUACUCCCAGGAUUGAUACCUAUCACCUGGAGAACGGGAGCUGCAGUUUCCUGGAGCGCUGCAUGAAGCCAGAAAACUAGACACUUGUUUCCUAAAAUCACUCUUUAAUGUUAAGACUCUGGGCAGCUUUCCACUCGUGGGUCAGAUUGAUACCUCCACUGCACCUGAGUAAUGAGGUAUGCAAUCUGGAUUUCAGGAAGAAGGUGGCAAGUGCUGUGCGGAAAGCUCAAGCAAAGUCAGCAGUCAGAAGACAAUCUCUUCAUGGCUGCCUUUGAGACAAGAUACAGAACUCUCAGUACCUUCUUCAGCAUAAUGUUUGCCUGCAUGCCAACCAUGCAUCCUACUAUGAUGAAGGUGCACUAAACCUCUGAAACUGUCAUCCAGAGGAUCUUCUACACAGUGAACUGGUCCUGGUCAACUAAGAUCACAUUGGAGGAGCAGCAGCUGAACAACUUCUUGUAGGUGGGUGGGGCCUUGGGGACUUCCUGCUGAAGGGGGGAGCCUCCUGGACUUCCUGCACACUGUGAGCCAGGUCCAUGUAAUAUAAAUGAAUAUAAAUAUGUAUGAUAUAUAUGUGUUAUAUGUAUAUCUGGAGGGUUGUUCAACACAGUUAAGAUGCAUGGACUGUCAAUAAAAAUGCUGAACUUGCA